This 402-nucleotide long non-coding RNA is filed under the name Gallus gallus (chicken). RNAcentral describes it as "long non-coding RNA NONGGAT012051". Lineage: Eukaryota; Metazoa; Chordata; Aves; Galliformes; Phasianidae. The record is from RNAcentral.
UUAUUUAAAAGAAUGAGCCACUUGUGCUUAACCAAAACCACCAUUACAGCAAAGAUCUCCUUGAGAGUGAGCUGCAGGGGAAGAGUCCUCCACAAGGAAGGAAGGUGGAGAAGCUACAUGUGACAGCAAGGCAGUCAGAGUAGUGUCAUUCCAGAUCAAGGGCCACAGUGCCAAAACAGAGCAUGCAGAACAGGUCUGGAAAUGGUAAACAGUGUCAGCCAAGAGUGCAGCUUUCCAGGCAAGUCCACAGUGAUUUGAGAAUCCUAAAGUCAAGUCCGUGUUUCAGGGUCAGGAUUGAAAUCAAGAGGGUACCUGGUCAGGUAUGGGCAGAGGAACAGCAUUGUUCUGAAAGAAAACAAGCAUGAAGGCCUGGCCUAAAAGCAGCUUAAAAGAGAAAGGUGG